This 468-nucleotide long non-coding RNA is filed under the name Oreochromis niloticus (Nile tilapia). RNAcentral describes it as "lncRNA (ENSONIG00000037243.1)". Lineage: Eukaryota; Metazoa; Chordata; Actinopteri; Cichliformes; Cichlidae. The record is from RNAcentral.
AUGAAUAAGGCUACGUCCACACGUACCAGCGUAUUUUUGAAACCGCUGAUUUUUCUAUGCGUUUGCACCUUUUGUCCACACGUAAUUUAUGUCUGGCCGUACAUUGUGUUUGUAUUUCCAGGCACAUUUCACGAAGCAGAACGCAGUCUUCAGAGAUAUCCACGUGAACGCUGUGAUACUGACCUUCAGUCCGAAGAAGAAACCCAGACCAGUCUUAAAAGAAAGCACAAACCAAAUCCCCUGUACACAUAUACGGACUCAGAGGAUGAGCAGCCUACAAAAAAACGGUUUCCCCAGGACCCUCGAGUGAAAAUACCAGCCCUCAUCACUCCACAGUCUGCCCCCCAGCCCACUGAUAGCAACCAUCAUAAUGCCCCACCCAGCUUCCAGCACCUUUCGCCACUCCGGCACAAACCGACACAGCUUUGCGAUCUCGCCAGCAUGCAGAGUCUGAUGUCUUCCCUAUAG